GACGAACGCUGGCGGCGUGCUUAACACAUGCAAGUCGAACGGAAAGGCCCUGCUUGCAGGGUACUCGAGUGGCGAACGGGUGAGUAACACGUGGGUGAUCUGCCCUGCACUUCGGGAUAAGCCUGGGAAACUGGGUCUAAUACCGGAUAGGAGCCAUUUUUAGUGUGAUGGUUGGAAAGUUUUUUCGGUGUAGGAUGAGCUCGCGGCCUAUCAGCUUGUUGGUGGGGUAAUGGCCUACCAAGGCGGCGACGGGUAGCCGGCCUGAGAGGGUGGACGGCCACAUUGGGACUGAGAUACGGCCCAGACUCCUACGGGAGGCAGCAGGGGGGAAUAUUGCACAAUGGGCGCAAGCCUGAUGCAGCGACGCCGCGUGGGGGAUGACGGCCUUCGGGUUGUAAACUCCUUUCGCCAGGGACGAAGCUUUUUGUGACGGUACCUAGAUAAGAAGCACCGGCUAACUACGUG
Molecule: ribosomal RNA, 465 nt
Filed under: uncultured bacterium
Lineage: Bacteria
Description: partial 16S ribosomal RNA
Rfam family: Bacterial small subunit ribosomal RNA
Source: RNAcentral